UCAUUGGUGGGUCUGCUGGUAGAUAUCGAUCCUACCAAGAAGCUCACCACUCUCAGCAUCUCUCUACAAUUUGAGAAUAAUUAAUUAAAAAAAUUUUAAAUAGAUAGAGAUUUAUAUACUAAUUAGAAAUUACUUACCAUCUGCUCUAUGUGACGAGUGAAUGACCUCGAACCCGCAUAAUGCAGUACGGUCUAUUUAGUCCAAUUCACGAUAU
Molecule: long non-coding RNA, 214 nt
Filed under: Elaeis guineensis (African oil palm)
Lineage: Eukaryota; Viridiplantae; Streptophyta; Magnoliopsida; Arecales; Arecaceae
Description: long non-coding RNA (EGUI_LNC039266)
Source: RNAcentral